Molecule: long non-coding RNA, 1294 nt
Filed under: Linum usitatissimum (flax)
Lineage: Eukaryota; Viridiplantae; Streptophyta; Magnoliopsida; Malpighiales; Linaceae
Description: long non-coding RNA (LUSI_LNC008030)
Source: RNAcentral
UCUUGUUACUAUUCAUCAAGGUUAAGCCAAAACCAUAAGCUUCACUUGCAAGUAAUUACUAAUAUCUAGUUUCAUACUCGAUCAGAAAAUCGAUUACAACUCGAUACCCCUAAAAUUACUUAUUUACACUUAGGGACACCUCCUCUCUCUACAAAUUUGACUAUUAUAUCUACGUUGUUCUUAUCCAUAAACCCUGUGUUUUGCCCUAAGCAAAAUCUGAGCAGCUGGAGAGAGCCACUAAGCAACGAGCAGCUUGUACUUCUUCCUCCGUCAGCUUCCGUACCUUCCUCUUACCAUACUUCUGUUUCUUCACCACCAUCGCCGGCGUCGGCGGCGCCCGCAGCGGAGAUCGCCGGAACAUCACUCCUCCCUUGGGGCUCGAAUACACCACCCUCACUUUCAACGGCCCCGUCGGCGAUGAACUGGACUCGUCGCUGGUGGUCACACCGCCGGCAGCGGCGGAGGAAGAGCCGAUAUGCUUUUUCUCCGGUCUCAUCUUCUUCGCGAAUCUGAUCCCGCAAGUGUUGCAUAGCGACUGAGCAAAAAUCAGGGGAAGUUUGGUUUCAGAAAACCCCCAAAUCCAGUAGAUAAAAAACCCUAAAUCUGAAAUUGACCCAUGUUUAGAACCGAAAUUGACCCAGAUCGAGAAAAAAUUUCCGAUUGAGAACUUGGAUUAAGCAUGGAAAUGUCGAAAAUAAAAACCCAGAUGGAGAAAUUUCUCCUACGAAUCAAUCAAAACGAACAGAAUAGAACAGAGGAUGACUAACAAAAACCACACGGAGAAAUUUCUCAGCUGAUUAGCCAGCUAAAUAGAACAAAAUCCAUGGACGAGUGAAGUUCAGUUCAGUGAAGGAGCAGAAACGCAAACAGACAUUGGGGCCGGCGGGCCCGAAUCUCCACAAGGGCGUAGUCGUAGCUUUGCAAUCUCUGCAGGAUUUCUGCAUCUCCCUUCUUCUUCUUGUGUUCGUCGUCACUGAAAACCAUCUGGAAGUAAAAACAAAACCCAUGAAAAGGAAGAAUUAAUGUCUGGUCUGAAAGAAACAACCAGCGACAGAGAAAACAACAGAGGAGGAAGAAUUAGGAAACAGGACAUGUUUUCUAAAGGGAAAGAAAACCUCGGUGGAAUUGUGUAGUACCUUCAUGGUUUCUAGCUGCCGACUACGAUUGAUCUUCUGAUGAUGGCGCCGACGAAGGAGGUGAAAGGCUGCUCUGCUCUCUGCUCUGCCACUCUCUGUCAACCAGUGAACACACUCUCUGUUUCUGCUCUGUGGGAAAUUAGGCAAUUGGGGGAGAA